AUUGAACGCUGGCGGCAGGCUUAACACAUGCAAGUCGAGCGGGGGAAGGUAGCUUGCUACCGGACCUAGCGGCGGACGGGUGAGUAAUGCUUAGGAAUCUGCCUAUUAGUGGGGGACAACAUCUCGAAAGGGAUGCUAAUACCGCAUACGUCCUACGGGAGAAAGCAGGGGAUCUUCGGACCUUGCGCUAAUAGAUGAGCCUAAGUCGGAUUAGCUAGUUGGUGGGGUAAAGGCCUACCAAGGCGACGAUCUGUAGCGGGGCUGAGAGGAUGAUCCGCCACACUGGGACUGAGACACGGACCAGACUCCUACGGGAGGCAGCAGUGGGGAAUAUUGGACAAUGGGGGGAACCCUGAUCCAGCCAUGCCGCGUGUGUGAAGGAGGCCUUAUGGUUGUAAAGCACUUUAAGCGAGGAGGAGGCUACUUUAGUUAAUACCUAGAGAUAGUGGACGUUACUCGCAGAAUAAGCACCGGCUAACUCUGUGCCAGCCGCCGCGGUAA
Molecule: ribosomal RNA, 501 nt
Filed under: uncultured bacterium
Lineage: Bacteria
Description: partial 16S ribosomal RNA
Rfam family: Bacterial small subunit ribosomal RNA
Source: RNAcentral